CUAUGUAAAAUGUGUUGUUUGUGAGAAGUCUUUUUCCUUCGGCAAUGCUUUCGAUCAUCAGCAUCGCGCAGACGAUAAACAAAUUGUAACCGACAUUGAUUAUUACUGGGUGUUCAAAUAUUUUAGACUGACUGUUUCUGCUUAUGUUCAUUCAGCAAACUGUAUUCUUUGUGAAUACAAAGAAUUUAUAGCGUUUGAAGAAACUAUAUUCUUGCAUUUUAAAACAGCUCAUUCAGAUAAAUGGGGGGAAAGAUUACCAUUUAUUAAAGAAUUAGCAGUUUUAAAAGGUGCCGUAAAUUUAAGUAGAUUGGAGUUGUUCUUAAAAAUAUGUGAACGUGGCCAUUGGGGCAUAAACGAUUGGAAAGAUCGCACAACUGCUAUAAAUUGGGUGAAAAGAAAAUAUCAAUUAAAACCGAGAUUUCAAGCAGAAUGUAAAAAGUGUUUUGACAUUUUUAAUAGCAUCGACACAUCAAGCUUUGAUCAACAUAUAUAUAUUAAAGAACUUUAUCUUUUCAAUAUGGAAAGUCAAAGACUUGUGACUAAUUGCAGAAAUGCAUAUUGGAUAAAUUUUAGGAGAUUAAUAUGGAAACAGGAAGUACAAUGUGUUUGUUAUAUGUAGCAAGAAGUUUCCAAUGAUGACGAACGACUGGAGAAAGCAUCUACAUGAUAAUGAUAAUAAUUACAUUCGUCAUUACACAUGGCAAUGCAAAUAUGUGAAAGAAAUCAAAGAUGGUAAUGAUGAUUUUAAAGGACGUUGCACUGUAUGUGAACAAGAACAUGACUUUCAUUUUAUGCCUGCAAUACACUUAUUUCUUCACAUAUUCGACAAUAAGUGUCGAAAUUUGAUGAGAAGAGAUUAUCUAGCAACAGGAAUCGAUUCACGACCAACAGAUGAUCUACCAAUGCAAAGACAAAGAAUGGAAAGCUUUAUAGCAUUCGAUGGACCGUCAACAAGCCGUGAAAUAAACUGAAAAGAAGCGGCGAUGUAUCUAUUCUUUUGACAAUGGAGAUGACGAUAACUGAAUUGAGAUCGAGCUACAAACAACAAUAACGUCAGCCUUUAUUUUGAUCACUUAAUUAAUUUGAAAUGUAUAAAAAAAUUAUCUUUAACGUCUGUAUAUAUCAGUUUGAUCCUUAUAAAGUUAUAAGCAAGAUUAUAAAUUUAUAUGUCAAAGACGUACCUUGAAUUUAUAAAUUUUGAAAUUCAAAUAUUUAAAAAAAACUAGUGACUGUGAUUUUUCAGCGCAAUGUAUUCUACGUAAACAGAACGUUUUGGCGUUUGAUGAAAUUAUAUUUUUGCAUAUUAGAAGUGCUCAUCCAGAAAAAUGGGGAGUAAAAUUAACAUUAAGAAAACAUUAAGAAAAACCAGAAGCAACAUCAGGAGUAAAUUUAGGAACAUUGAACCUGUUGUUAAAAGUUUAUAACGAUCGUGUAUGGUAUGCAAUAGACAGUGAAGAUCGCGCAAUUUCUAUUGAUUGGGUGAAGCGGAAAUACAAAUUAAAUUCGAGAUUUCGAGCAGAAUGUAAAAAGUGUUUUGAUAUUUUCAGUAGCAUCGACAUAUCAAGCUUUGAUACUCAUUUAUAUAAUGAAGAAAAUUAUUUUUAUUAUUGGAAAAGCAGAGGAGAUUGUAGUUAUCACCAAAAUCCAUCUUGGAUGAACUUCAGAAAACUUAGAGGAAAACAAAGAGCAGAAUGUGUUUUAUGUAACAGAAUUUUUAUACUCCGAAGGAAAGAUUGGGAAAAGCAUCAUCAUGAAAGAACUGAUGAUGAUAAUAACUUCAUUGGUCACUACACAUGGCAUUGCAAAUAUGUGACAGAAAACGAAAAUGAUAAUGAUGAUUUUAAAGGAUGUUGCAAUAUAUGUAAAGAAAAACAUAACUUUGUUUUUAUGCCUGCAAUACACUUAUUUUUUCACAUAUUCGAACAUCAUUAUGGAGAUUUGAUGAGAAGAGCACGCUUAAGAGACGACUCAGAACCAGGAAAUGUCUCACGAUCAAGAGAUGAUUCAUCAAUAAGAAGUCAAAGAAUGAGAAGACCGACACCAUACGACAGACCGACAACAAGUUAUGAAAUAAACUGAAGAAACGGCGAUGUAUCUAUUCUUUUGGCAAUGGAGAUGAUGAUAGUUGAAUUAAGAUCGAGCCACAAACAGCAAUAACGGCAGUUUUGAUUUCGUCCACUUCAUUAAUGUGUAAUGCAUAAAAAACUAUCUUCAAUGUUUGCAUAUUAUAUUAAUCUAUAUAGUAUAUUAGU
This is a non-coding RNA of Linepithema humile (Argentine ant), 2252 nucleotides long. The record is from RefSeq and is a predicted model, not a curated record. NCBI's taxonomy places the organism in Eukaryota, Metazoa, Arthropoda, Insecta, Hymenoptera, Formicidae.